CGGUACCUACGGGAGGCAGCAGUGGGGAAUAUUGGGCAAUGGGCGCAAGCCUGACCCAGCAACGCCGCGUGAAGGAAGAAGGCUUUCGGGUUGUAAACUUCUUUUCUCAGGGACGAAGCAAGUGACGGUACCUGAGGAAUAAGCCACGGCUAACUACGUGCCAGCAGCCGCGGUAAUACGUAGGUGGCAAGCGUUAUCCGGAUUUACUGGGUGUAAAGGGCGUGUAGGCGGGAAAGCAAGUCAGAAGUGAAAGCCCGGGGCUCAACUCCGGGACUGCUUUUGAAACUGUUGAACUAGAUUGCAGG
Molecule: ribosomal RNA, 305 nt
Filed under: uncultured bacterium
Lineage: Bacteria
Description: bacterial SSU rRNA
Rfam family: Bacterial small subunit ribosomal RNA
Source: RNAcentral